ACUGCACACUGCAGUCAGGGAUACUUGCCACUGUGGAGCUCGAUUUAGGCUACAUGUACCUCAAUUGCCUCCUACCCCUGCUCAUCGACUUGGUACUGGUACCCCAUCGAGCCAAAUGAACGUUAAUCAUUGUGUAUUUAUUCCUUGUGUUAUUUUUUAUAUUAUUUUUCAAACUUUCUCUCUGCGUUUUCAAGCAGCCAGCUUAAUUGUGACCUGCAUGAAUCAGGGUACACCUGGAGAGGUUUUUUGACAGUUUCUUGUCUCUCAUGAGAAGAAACUGUUUGACAUUGAGUAACACUGGACCUCCAACACCGGUUGGACCUCCUGGAUCUGGUGGACCUCCUGGACAGUCUGGAUCUACACCUGGUGGACAUCCCGGACCAACUGGAGAGGAACCUGGUUCACUUCACUGAUGUUCUUCAACUCCAGUCAAAUGGUCAAGGUGGCAGCAACAGUCAAGUGACUACGCUACUGAGGACAGUGAAUUACUCUGUCGAACUGUUCACCCCACAGCUGAGAGAGAAUGUGAGCACUGAGCAGGAAACUAACCAUACCCUGAACUCAUGAACCGAGCACAUGGUUCAUGCAGGUUAUACAGUUGAAGUUGGAGGUUUAUAUCCACCUUAGCCAAAUACAUUUAAACUCAGUUCUUCACAAUUCCUGACAUUUAAUCCUCGUAAAAAUUCCAUGUCUUAGGUCAGUUACGAUCACCACUUUUAUUUUAAGAAUGUGAAAUGUCAGAAUAGUAGAGACAAUUAUUUAUUUCAGCUUUUAUUUCUUUCAUCACAUUCCCAGUGGGUCAGAAGUUUACAUACACUCAAUUAGUAUUUGGUAGCAUUGUCUUUAAAUUGUUUAACUUGGAUCAAACUUUUCGGGUAGUCUUCCACAAUCUUCCCAUAAUAAGUUUGGUGAAUUUUGGCCUAUUCCUCCUGACAGAUCUGGUGUAACUGACUCAGGUUUGUAGGCCUUCUUGCUCGCACACACUUUUUCAGUUCUGCCCACAAAUUUUCUAUAGGAUUGCGGUCAGGGCUUUGUGCUAGCUUUGUGAUGGCCACUCCAAGACCUUGACUUUGUUGUCCUUAAGCCAUUUUGCCACAACUUUGGAAGUAUGCUUGGGGUCAUUGUCCAUUUGGAAGACCCAUAUGCGACCUAGCUUUAACUUCCUGAUUGAUGUCUUGAGAUAUUGCUUCAAUAUAUCCACAUCAUUUUCUAUUUUGUGAAGUGCACCAGCCCCUUCUGCAGCAAAGCACCCCCACAACAUGAUGCUGCCACCUCCGUGCUUCUUCACGGUUGGGAUGGUGUUCUUCGGCCUGCAAGUCUCCCCCUUUUUCCUCCAAACAUAACGAUGGUCUUUAAGGCUAAACAGUUGUAUUUUUGUUUCACCAGACCAGAGGACAUUUCUCCAAAGAGUACGAUCACCCCAUGUGCAGUUGCAAACCGUAGUCUGGCUUUUUUUGGCGGUUUUGGAGCAGUGGCUUCUUUCUUGCUGACCAGCUUUUCAGGUUGUGUCGAUAUAGGACUCGUUUUACUGUGGCUAUAGAUACUUUUGUAGCUGUUUCCUACAGCAUCUUCACCAGGUUCUUUGCUGUUGUUCUGGGAUUGAUUUGCACUUUUCACACCAAAGUAUGUUCAUCUCUAGGAGACGGAACGCGUCUCCUUCCUGAGCGGUAUGAUGGCUGCGUGGCCCCAUGGUAUUUAUACUUAUGUACUAUUGUUUGUACAGAUGAAUGCGGUACCUUCAGGCGUUUGGAAAUUGCUCCCAAGGAUGAACCAGACUUGUGGAGUUCUACCAUUUUCGUCUGAGGUCUUGGCUGAUUUCUUUUCAUUUUCCCAUGAUGUCAAGAAAAGAGGCACUGAAUUUGAAAGUAGGCCUUGAAAUACAUCCACAGGUACACCUCCAAUUGACUCAGAUGAUGUCAAUAGCCUAUCAGAAGCUUCUAAAACCAUGACAUAAUUUUCUGGAAUUUUCCAAGCUGUUUAAAGGCACAGUCAACUUAGUGUAUGUUAACUUCUAACCCACUGGAAUUGUGAUACAGUGAAUUAUAAGUGAAAUAAUCUGUCUGUAAACAAUUGUUGGAAAAAUUGGAUCUACAUCUACAAAGUAGAUGUACUAACCGACUUGGAAGAGCUAUAGUUUGUUAGCAAUAAAUUUGUGGAAUGGUUGAAAAAUUAGUUUCAAUGACUCCAACCUAAGUGUAUGUCAACUUCUGACUUCAACUGUAUAUUUAGGAGACAUUGAUGAGAAAGAAUGGCCAAGUGUUGAUAUUUGUAAAACACAGAGAGAGAGGUUGUGGUGAAGAAGGACAGGACACCACCCCGAGGACCAGUCAGACUGACCAAUGAGAACGCCCUACUUGACACCACCUUGGAGACAGCGAUCAGCAAGGACAGGAAUUACCCAAGUACAGUCCCACUCAGCAGCAGUGGCAUUAGGCUUCUUAGUGACAACAGGCUUAAAGAGGCGAAGCCUAAAAUCCAGAUGAUUCCGGUUGAUGAAGACCCAACUCAGGCGUUUCUUUCUCCUGCUACGUUAGGUUAAUUGGUCAGAGGGUGGAGAGGUCAAGCCAACGUUGCACCUAAUAUGGUGUCCAACUCCACCCACGCUGUAUGCUCCUGCACCAGAGAUCUGUAUAUAGUGAUGAGAUGCACAUGCCUCCGCCCUAACGUUGGGUGUUGUUGUCCCAAAUGCGGUAAGCUUAGGUAAAAAAAUAAGCCCAUAGAAACGCACUAGUCUUAUUUUGGACAGAUUUUGGCGAGCGUGAAACUACCUUCGCCGCUCCCUCUCUCCCUGCACCCAUCUCAUCAGCUUCACCCUGUUCAGGGGAAUCCAAGAGAGAAAGUUGAUGCACAACAACACUGUCGAACUACUAAGAGGGAAAGGAGUCUGACAGCCACAUCGCGGCCCACACAGUAAAACCCCCUGCCUAACAAAUAUCGUUACGUAUGCACGUUAACAAUCACUUUGCGCUAUACACAAAAUAUAUAAGUAACGACGCGACACUUGGUUUUGGUUUCAUAUAUCCCAUCCAUAACUCUAUUGCAGAAAUGCACAAUUAGUCUUGACAUUUGUUAUUAUUGUUUCUCUAUGUUGAGUCGACGUGUUAUAUUACGUUGUAACAGUCACUGGUAUCAUCUAACGUUAUAAUUGAACUAAUAUCCUUAUCAACAAACAGUGAAAGUUCUAGGUAAUGUCUCUGUUUGUCUCAGUUAGCGGCCCCAUGUCUGCUGCAUGGAAGCCAGCUGUGUUCUGGUGAAGGAGGUCCGACCGGAUUUCUGUUGUUAAAGCAUGGUUCCGGAGGGGAGUUGGGAAGUGCAACCCUGUUCACUGCGGAGGAACACUUUUUGAUUCACAUGUCGACAUUCCAAAGUACCUUUCAUACACUGAUACUGUUAAUGUAUGUAUUUCUGAUCUGAUCAGUACCCUGAAACGUUAUAUCACGAUCAUGUGUAUUGAAAAUGUAUGUCUUGCAAAACUCACCUUCUACCUGACAAGGGACAGUUCCAUACACUGAGUAUACCGCCAUACACUGAUAUACCAAACAUUAGGAACAACUUCCUAAUAGUGAGUUGCACCCUCCCCUUUUGCCCUCACAACAGCCUCAAUUGGUCGGGGCAUGGACUCGGCAAGGUGUCGAAAGCAUUCAACAGGGAUGCUGGCCCAUGUUGACUCCAAUGCUUCCCACAGUUGUCAAGUUAGCUGAAUGUCCUUUAGGUGGGCCAUUCUUGAUACAUGGGAAACGGUUGAGUGUUAAAAACCCAGCAGCGUUGCAGUUCUAUACACAAAGAGGUGCGCCUGGCACUUACUACCAUACCUCGUUCAAAGACACUUCUUUCCCAUCCACCCUCUGAAUGGCACACAUACACAAUCCAUGUGUGAAUUGUCUCCAGGCUUUAAAAUCCUUUAACCGGUCUCCCCUUCAUUUACAUACAGAUUGAAGUGGAUUUAACAAGUGACAUUAAUAAGGGAUCAUAGCUUUCACCUGGUCAGUGUGUCAUGGAAAGACCAGGUGUUCUUAAUGUUUGUGUACUCAGUGUAUAUUAUUGAGGUAAAACUCCCUCUUGUCACUCUUUUAUUUUUGAAGUUGAUUCAUGAGUUUAUGUUGCAUUCGGUUCUGCACAGUUUGUUUUAAUUUCAAUUCAGUUUAUUUGUCUAUUUUAAUACUUUUUGGUUUAUCUUCUCCUGGCAUAAUUAGUAUUUUUUUGCAAUUUGAAGGAAUAAAACUCCUAAUAUUUGCACCAUA
Long non-coding RNA from Oncorhynchus keta (chum salmon), 4241 nucleotides. RefSeq lists it as uncharacterized. The transcript is spliced from 4 exons. The record is from RefSeq and is a predicted model, not a curated record. Lineage: Eukaryota; Metazoa; Chordata; Actinopteri; Salmoniformes; Salmonidae.